UACGAAGGGGGCUAGCGUUGUUCGGAAUCACUGGGCGUAAAGGGCGCGUAGGCGGCUUGAUAAGUCCGCUGUAAAAGUCAACGGCUCAACUGUUGAAAGCCGGUGGAUACUGUCGGGCUAGAGUACGGAAGAGGCAAGUGGAAUUCCUGGUGUAGCGGUGGAAUGCGCAGAUAUCAGGAGGAACACCCAUAGCGAAGGCAGCUUGCUGGGACGUUACUGACGCUAAGGCGCGAAAGCGUGGGGAGCGAACAGG
This 253-nucleotide ribosomal RNA is filed under the name uncultured bacterium. Its description in RNAcentral is "partial 16S ribosomal RNA". It matches the Rfam family "Bacterial small subunit ribosomal RNA", at positions 524 to 776 of the family's 1533-position model. The record is from RNAcentral.